UCGAGAAUCUUCGGCAAUGAGCGCAAGCUUGACCGAGCGACGCCGCGUGCGGGAUGAAGGCCUUCGGGUUGUAAACCGCUUUGGUCCGAGAGAAAGGGCAACUUGAUCGAUCGGAGAAACAAGGACGGGCUAAGUUCGUGCCAGCAGCCGCGGUAAGACGAACCGUCCAAACGUUAUUCGGAAUCACUGGGCUUAAAGGGCGCGUAGGCGGCCGAGCGGGUCGCGGGUGAAAUCCCCCAGCUUAACUGGGGAACUGCCCUCGAUACCACUGCGGCUCGAGGAAGGAAGGGGCAAUCGGAACUGUCGGUGGAGCGGUGAAAUGCGUUGAUAUCGACAGGAACGCCGGUGGCGAAAGCGGAUUGCUGGUCCUUUUCUGACGCUGAGGCGCGAAAGCCAGGGGAGCAAACGGG
Molecule: ribosomal RNA, 410 nt
Filed under: uncultured bacterium
Lineage: Bacteria
Description: bacterial SSU rRNA
Rfam family: Bacterial small subunit ribosomal RNA
Source: RNAcentral